GGCUCGACUUUGACCAGCCAACCUGACCACCAUCAGAAAGACUCAAACCAAAUUAUCAUAUUAUGAAUGAUAAUUCCAUUAGUCAAUAAGCACCUGGCCUUUGGGCCUCCAGUGAUUAUUAAACUAAUGGACUCAUUAUCACUCACUUAAUGGGAGGCUAUGACUUAGUUAUCACUAUAACUUAAUCAUUUUAGGGACCUAAUAAUUUUGAGGAUUUUAUUAAAGGAUAGAAGAGAAGAAAUUAACN
RNAcentral lists this long non-coding RNA (247 nucleotides) under Elaeis guineensis (African oil palm). RNAcentral describes it as "long non-coding RNA (EGUI_LNC061010)". The record is from RNAcentral. Lineage: Eukaryota; Viridiplantae; Streptophyta; Magnoliopsida; Arecales; Arecaceae.